This 497-nucleotide ribosomal RNA is filed under the name uncultured bacterium. RNAcentral describes it as "partial 16S ribosomal RNA". It matches the Rfam family "Bacterial small subunit ribosomal RNA", at positions 28 to 507 of the family's 1533-position model. The record is from RNAcentral.
GAUGAACGCUGGCGGCGUGCCUAAUACAUGCAAGUCGAGCGAACGGACGAGAAGCUUGCUUCUCUGAUGUUAGCGGCGGACGGGUGAGUAACGCGUGGAUAACCUACCUAUAAGACUGGGAUAACUUCGGGAAACCGGAGCUAAUACCGGAUAAUAUUUUGAACCGCAUGGUUCAAAAGUGAAAGACGGUCUUGCUGUCACUUAUAGAUGGAUCCGCGCUGCAUUAGCUAGUUGGUAAGGUAACGGCUUACCAAGGCAACGAUGCAUAGCCGACCUGAGAGGGUAAUCGGCCACACUGGAACUGAGACACGGUCCAGACUCCUACGGGAGGCAGAAGUAGGGAAUCUUCCGCAAUGGGCGAAAGCCUGACGGAGCAACGCCGCGUGAGUGAUGAAGGUCUUCGGAUCGUAAAACUCUGUUAUUAGGGAAGAACAUAUGUGUAAGUAACUGUGCACAUCUUGACGGUACCUAAUCAGAAAGCCACGGCUAACUACGUG